CCUACGGGAGGCUGCAGUGAGGAAUAUUGGUCAAUGGGCGGAAGCCUGAACCAGCCAAGUAGCGUGCGGGAUGAAGGCCCUACGGGUCGUAAACCGCUUUUGCACGGGGAUAACACCCUCCACUUGUGGAGGUCUGCAGGUACCGUGCGACUAAGGGCCGGCUAAUUCCGUGCCAGCAGCCGCGGUAAUACGGAAGGCCCGAGCGUUAUCCGGAUUUCUUUGGGUUAAAGGGAGCGUAGGCGGGCGUUCAAGUCAGCUGUAAAAUCGCGCGGCUCAACCGCGCCCCGAAGUUGAAACUGGAAGCCUUGAGUUGACAAGAGGCAGGCGGAAUGCGUGGUGUAGCGGUGAAAUGCAUAGAUAUCACGAGGAACCCCGAUUGCGAAGGCAGCCUGCCGGGGUGCGACUGACGCUGAGGCUCGAAGGUGCGGGUAUCAAACAGGAUUAGAUACCCGAGUAGUC
RNAcentral lists this ribosomal RNA (459 nucleotides) under uncultured bacterium. RNAcentral describes it as "partial 16S ribosomal RNA". It matches the Rfam family "Bacterial small subunit ribosomal RNA", at positions 338 to 795 of the family's 1533-position model. The record is from RNAcentral.